Molecule: ribosomal RNA, 432 nt
Filed under: uncultured bacterium
Lineage: Bacteria
Description: partial 16S ribosomal RNA
Rfam family: Bacterial small subunit ribosomal RNA
Source: RNAcentral
ACGAACGCUGGCGGCAUGCCUAACACAUGCAAGUCGAACGAGACCUUCGGGUCUAGUGGCGCACGGGUGCGUAACGCGUGGGAACCUGCCCUUAGGUUCGGAAUAACUCCCCGAAAGGGGUGCUAAUACCGGAUAAUGUCUUCGGACCAAAGAUUUAUCGCCUUUGGAUGGGCCCGCGUUGGAUUAGCUAGUUGGUAGGGUAAAAGCCUACCAAGGCGACGAUCCAUAGCUGGUCUGAGAGGAUGAUCAGCCACACUGGGACUGAGACACGGCCCAGACUCCUACGGGAGGCAGCAGUGGGGAAUAUUGGACAAUGGGCGAAAGCCUGAUCCAGCAAUGCCGCGUGAGUGAUGAAGGCCUUAGGGUUGUAAAGCUCUUUUACCCGAGAUGAUAAUGACAGUACCGGGAGAAUAAGCUCCGGCUAACUCCGUG